Molecule: non-coding RNA, 719 nt
Filed under: Brachionus quadridentatus
Lineage: Eukaryota; Metazoa; Rotifera; Eurotatoria; Ploima; Brachionidae
Source: RNAcentral
GAACUUAAAUGCUUAGGUUCGAUGCUAAAGGUGCAGUAAUGUAAAUAUAUAGAUCUUACUUUAAUGAUUUUUUUUAAGCUUGCUAGCUGUGAGUUAAUUUAGAUAAUUAUUUAACUUUUAACUUUAGUUAUAGUUUUCUGUGAAUAAGUGUCCCAAUAGAGUGCCAGCAGGCGUGGUUAGACUGAACACUUACUUUAGCUUAUUGUCUUUUUAAUUUAACUUUUAUUUAGCAAAUAACUGGUAAAAUAGGUAGUGUGCUACAUCAAGUUAGUUAAUAUUAUUCUGUUAAAAGACAAGGAUUAGAUACCCUUUUAUAUCAGAUGAAACUUUUUAUGAUAAUUAUGUUUAAAAUUCAAACAAUUUGGCGGUAAGGAAAGAACUCAGAGAAACCUGAGAAUUAAUUGGAUGAUCCACCAGUACUAUCUCUUAACAUGUUUGUUACCUGUAUGUCUGUUUAGAUUAUCGUUAGCUCUUUAAUCUCUUUUAUUUUAAAAAUAUAAAUUCAGGUCGAUAUAGGGAUUGUUGUUAAGUUUACUUGGGUUGCAUUUAAGCUUAUUAGUAACUCAAUUAGUAUGAGUUUAAUUUGGAUUUGAAAGUAAAUAUUUGUGUAAAUAUAUUGAAUUCUCCUUUUCUUAAGUACAAAUCGCCCGUCACCUCUGUUACAAAAUAAACUGAGUAAGUCGAAACAAAGUAGGUUGGCUGGAAGGGUAACCUGUAUG